CUUUGGGAUAACCCUCGGAAACGGGGGCUAAUACCGGGUAUGACCACUUGUCGCAUGGUGGGUGGUGGAAAGAUUUGUUGGCUAGGGAUGGGCUCGCGGCCUAUCAGCUGGUUGGUGGGGUGAUGGCCUACCAAGGCGACGACGGGUAGCCGGCCUGAGAGGGCGACCGGCCACACUGGGACUGAGACACGGCCCAGACUCCUACGGGAGGCAGCAGUGGGGAAUAUUGCACAAUGGGCGGAAGCCUGAUGCAGCGACGCCGCGUGAGGGAUGACGGCCUUCGGGUUGUAAACCUCUUUCGACCCUGACGAAGCGUGAGUGACGGUAGGGGGAGAAGAAGCGCCGGCCAACUACGUGCCAGCAGCCGCGGUAAGACGUAGGGCGCGAGCGUUGUCCGGAUUUAUUGGGCGUAAAGAGCUCGUAGGCGGCUCGUUGCGUCGGCUGUGAAAACCCGCAGCUCAACUGUGGGCUUGCAGCCGAUACGGGCGGGCUGGAGUUCGGUAGGGGAGACUGGAAUUCCUGGUGUAGCGGUGAAAUGCGCAGAUAUCAGGAGGAACACCGGUGGCGAAGGCGGGUCUCUGGGCCGAUACUGACGCUGAGGAGCGAAAGCGUGGGGAGCGAACAGGAUUAGAUACCCUGGUAGUCCACGCUGUAAACGUUGGGCGC
RNAcentral lists this ribosomal RNA (666 nucleotides) under uncultured Micromonosporaceae bacterium. RNAcentral describes it as "bacterial SSU rRNA". It matches the Rfam family "Bacterial small subunit ribosomal RNA", at positions 136 to 816 of the family's 1533-position model. Lineage: Bacteria; Bacillati; Actinomycetota; Actinomycetes; Micromonosporales; Micromonosporaceae. The record is from RNAcentral.